GAUGAACGCUAGCGGCAGGCCUAACACAUGCAAGUCGAGGGGCAUCGCGGUGCAGCAAUGCACUGGCGGCGACCGGCGCACGGGUGAGUAACACGUAUGCAACCUACCUCUAACAGGGGGAUAACCCGUUGAAAGACGGACUAAUACCCCAUAAUACAGGGGCUCCGCAUGGAGAUAUUUGUUAAAGAUUUUAUCGGUUAGAGAUGGGCAUGCGUUCCAUUAGCUAGUUGGUGAGGUAACGGCUCACCAAGGCGACGAUGGAUAGGGGAACUGAGAGGUUUAUCCCCCACACUGGAACUGAGACACGGUCCAGACUCCUACGGGAGGCAGCAGUGAGGAAUAUUGGUCAAUGGAGGCAACUCUGAACCAGCCAAGUCGCGUGAAGGAUGAAGGUCUUAUGGAUUGUAAACUUCUUUUGCAGGGGAAUAAAUAGCGGUACGUGUACCGUUUUGCAUGUACCCUGCGAAUAAGGAUCGGCUAACUCCGUGCCAGCAGCCG
Molecule: ribosomal RNA, 498 nt
Filed under: uncultured bacterium
Lineage: Bacteria
Description: bacterial SSU rRNA
Rfam family: Bacterial small subunit ribosomal RNA
Source: RNAcentral